RNAcentral lists this RNase MRP RNA (253 nucleotides) under uncultured Uronema sp. Its description in RNAcentral is "RNase MRP". It matches the Rfam family "RNase MRP". From Rfam's summary of the family: RNase MRP is an enzymatically active ribonucleoprotein with two distinct roles in eukaryotes. In mitochondria it plays a direct role in the initiation of mitochondrial DNA replication. In the nucleus it is involved in precursor rRNA processing, where it cleaves the internal transcribed spacer 1 between 18S and 5.8S rRNAs. The record is from RNAcentral. Lineage: Eukaryota; Ciliophora; Oligohymenophorea; Philasterida; Uronematidae.
CUGAUAAAUUGCUUUCGCAGCAAACAAAAAUGUCUCUUGCAAGACAAACCAAUACCCAAAACUGUGGGGAAAGUCCUCCUGCAAACAAGGUAGAAAGUACCUGUUUUGAUUAACGGGGUACCGCUAUGGUCUGUCGAAGAAGGGGUCAAAUCCUGAGACAUAAGGCCUGGUGAGUUCUCUUAUCAGUAUCAAAGUCAUGCAAUUAAUACUUGUUCUUUUUAAGGGCUUGUAUCAACACAAGGGGGCUUAUAUU